RNAcentral lists this ribosomal RNA (597 nucleotides) under uncultured bacterium. RNAcentral describes it as "bacterial SSU rRNA". It matches the Rfam family "Bacterial small subunit ribosomal RNA", at positions 338 to 948 of the family's 1533-position model. The record is from RNAcentral.
CCUACGGGAGGCAGCAGUGGGGAAUUUUCCGCAAUGGGCGAAAGCCUGACGGAGCAACGCCGCGUGAGGGAUGAAGGCCUCUGGGCUGUAAACCUCUUUUAUCAAGGAAGAAGAUCUGACGGUACUUGAUGAAUAAGCCACGGCUAAUUCCGUGCCAGCAGCCGCGGUAAUACGGGAGUGGCAAGCGUUAUCCGGAAUUAUUGGGCGUAAAGCGUCCGCAGGCGGUCUUGUAAGUCUGUCGUUAAAGCGUGGAGCUCAACUCCAUUUCGGCGGUGGAAACUACAAGACUAGAGUGUGGUAGGGGCAGAGGGAAUUCCCGGUGUAGCGGUGAAAUGCGUAGAUAUCGGGAAGAACACCAGUGGCGAAGGCGCUCUGCUGGGCCAUAACUGACGCUCAUGGACGAAAGCUAGGGGAGCGAAAGGGAUUAGAUACCCCUGUAGUCCUAGCCGUAAACGAUGAACACUAGGUGUCGGGGGAAUCGACCCCCUCGGUGUCGUAGCUAACGCGUUAAGUGUUCCGCCUGGGGAGUACGCACGCAAGUGUGAAACUCAAAGAUAGUACGGCGUGAGACGUGCGAACGACGACACAGGGAGUAGG